Solanum pennellii is the source of this 619-nucleotide long non-coding RNA. RefSeq lists it as uncharacterized. The transcript is spliced from 2 exons. The record is from RefSeq and is a predicted model, not a curated record. Lineage: Eukaryota; Viridiplantae; Streptophyta; Magnoliopsida; Solanales; Solanaceae.
CUCCCAGGUGAUGGAACACUGAAAUUUUGUUCUAUAUUUUGGUGAAAGAUCUUUCUGAAAUUGCUAAAAUUACUGCUCUCUACUCUCAUUUCUCUAAUUCUCAAAUGGCAUCCCAAGGAUCAUUAGAGGUGCCUCCAGAGGAGUUUCCUACUAGGAUCAAUUACCGUCCAAAUGGCAAGCCUCGGAUUGUAAUUGAACACUACAUGCCUGAACUGGAAGCUUAUAUGCCAAGAGAUGCUGAACCAAUUGAUUUAAAUGUGCUACGAGAAAUCAAUGAUCGAUUGACAGCUAUGCUAGAAGAUGUGAGAUUGAUGAAGAAACGACUCACACGUAUCAUGAUUUUACAGUUGCUAUGCCUCUUUGUUGCAUUUUCAGGUCUCUUUGUGAAGUUGAUUCGUAAGUAAGUAUUGUUACUUUGUGAGCCAUUUAACCUUCUAUCAGUGCUGCUCAGAAAUUUGUUUAGGAAAAUGGAGUGUUAAUAGUUCUUUGAUGUUUUGUGCUUUGAGUCGGUACUUUCUACAGCCUUUGUGCCUCAUCAGCUUGUGCUGUUGUAAAUAAGUUCUUGUAAUCAAGGUUUUUGGCUUUUGUUCAUUGAAAAGAAAGAGUUUUGGUCUUCCUA